AGUCGAACGGUCAGUAGCAAUACUGAUAGUGGCGCACGGGUGCGUAACACGUAACUAACCUACCUAUAACUGGGGGAUAGCCCGCCGAAAGGCGGAUUAAUACCGCAUAAGCUAGUUGACUCGGCAUCGGGUUAUUAGUAAAGAUUUAUUGGUUAUAGAUGGGGUUGCGGGUCAUUAGCUAGUUGGUAAGGUAACGGCUUACCAAGGCGACGAUGACUAGGGGAGCUGAGAGGCUGGUCCCCCACACGGGCACUGAGAUACGGGCCCGACUCCUACGGGAGGCAGCAGUAGGGAAUAUUGGGCAAUGGGCGAGAGCCUGACCCAGCCAUGCCGCGUGCAGGAAGAAGGCUUUCUGAGUCGUAAACUGCUUUUGACAGGGAAGAAUAAGCGCUACGUGUAGCGUGAUGACGGUACCUGCAGAAUAAGCACCGGCUAACUCCGUGCCAGCAGCCGCGGUAAUACGGAGGGUGCGAGCGUUGUCCGGAUUUAUUGGGUUUAAAGGGUGCGUAGGCGGCUUUUUAAGUCUGGGGUGAAAGCCCGCUGCUCAACAGCGGAACUGCCCUGGAUACUGGAGAGCUUGAGUACAGACGAGGUUGGCGGAAUGGACUGAGUAGCGGUGAAAUGCAUAGAUACAGUCCAGAACCCCGAUUGCGAAGGCAGCUGACUAGGCUGUUACUGACGCUGAGGCACGAAAGCGUGGGGAGCGAACAGGAUUAGAUACCCUGGUAGUCCACGCCGUAAACGAUGGAUACUCGCUGCGAGCUAAAGAUUGUUCGUGGCUUAGGGAAACCGAUAAGUAUCCCACCUGGGGAGUACGCUCGCAAGAGUGAAACUCAAAGGAAUUGAC
RNAcentral lists this ribosomal RNA (847 nucleotides) under uncultured bacterium. RNAcentral's name for it is "bacterial SSU rRNA". It matches the Rfam family "Bacterial small subunit ribosomal RNA", at positions 60 to 914 of the family's 1533-position model. The record is from RNAcentral.